AACGGUGUAGCUCAAUUGGUAGAGCAACGAGGUAUGAUAAUCCGUAGGUCGGCGGUUCAAGUCCGCCCACCGUUCCUA
This 78-nucleotide transfer RNA is filed under the name Muribaculaceae bacterium Isolate-039 (Harlan). RNAcentral's name for it is "tRNA-Ile". It matches the Rfam family "tRNA". From Rfam's summary of the family: Transfer RNA (tRNA) molecules are approximately 80 nucleotides in length. Lineage: Bacteria; Pseudomonadati; Bacteroidota; Bacteroidia; Bacteroidales; Muribaculaceae. RNAcentral also lists the same sequence under 2 other names. The record is from RNAcentral.